AAGCCAUGCAUGUCUCAGUGCAAGCCGUCUAGUACGGUGAAACCGCGAAAGGCUCAUUAAAUCAGUUAUGGUUCCUUAGAUUGUACCCACGUUACUUGGAUAACUGUGGUAAUUCUAGAGCUAAUACAUGCCGACAGAGUUCCAACCAACUGUACGGCUUCGGCCGCGCAGUAAGGAAGGAACGCUUUUAUUAGAUCAAAACCGGCUAAGCGGCGGCCGCUCUUCGGAGCGCGCCGUCGUUAGUGGCCUGCGCAAAGAUUUGGUGACUCUGAAUAACUUCGAGCUGAUCGCACGGUCUCGUACCGGCGACGUAUCUUUCAAAUGUCUGCCUUAUCAACUGUCGACGGUAGGUUCGACGCCUACCGUGGUGGUAACGGGUAACGGGGAAUCAGGGUUCGAUUCCGGAGAGGGAGCCUGAGAAACGGCUACCACAUCCAAGGAAGGCAGCAGGCGCGCAAAUUACCCACUCCCAGCUCGGGGAGGUAGUGACGAAAAAUAACGAUACGGGACUCAUUUGAGGCCUCGUAAUCGGAAUGAGUACACUUUAAAACCUUGGUCAC
RNAcentral lists this ribosomal RNA (560 nucleotides) under Amonostherium sp. 170703-IDNS-02(IN61). Its description in RNAcentral is "SSU rRNA". It matches the Rfam family "Eukaryotic small subunit ribosomal RNA", at positions 46 to 538 of the family's 1831-position model. Lineage: Eukaryota; Metazoa; Arthropoda; Insecta; Hemiptera; Pseudococcidae. The record is from RNAcentral.